RNAcentral lists this ribosomal RNA (426 nucleotides) under uncultured bacterium. Its description in RNAcentral is "partial 16S ribosomal RNA". It matches the Rfam family "Bacterial small subunit ribosomal RNA", at positions 354 to 796 of the family's 1533-position model. The record is from RNAcentral.
GUGAGGAAUUUUCCGCAAUGGGCGAAAGCCUGACGGAGCAAUGCCGCGUGAAGGAUGAAGGCCUAUGGGUUGUAAACUUCUUUUCUUAGAGAAGAAUAUUGACGGUAUCUGAGGAAUAAGCAUCGGCUAACUCUGUGCCAGCAGCCGCGGUAAGACAGAGGAUGCAAGCGUUAUCCGGAAUGAUUGGGCGUAAAGCGUCUGUAGGUGGCUUCAAAAGUCUCCUGUCAAAGAUCAGGGCUUAACCCUGGGCCGGCAGGAGAAACUCUGAGGCUAGAGUUUGGUAGGGGCAGAGGGAAUUCCCGGUGGAGCGGUGAAAUGCGUAGAGAUCGGGAGGAACACCAAAGGCGAAAGCACUCUGCUGGGCCACAACUGACACUGAUGCACGAAAGUGUGGGGAUCGAACAGGAUUAGAAACCCGAGUAGUCC